Molecule: ribosomal RNA, 497 nt
Filed under: uncultured bacterium
Lineage: Bacteria
Description: partial 16S ribosomal RNA
Rfam family: Bacterial small subunit ribosomal RNA
Source: RNAcentral
GAUGAACGCUGGCGGCAUGCUUAAUACAUGCAAGUCGAACGGACAGACGUGUUUCUUGUGCCGCUCGCGUGAGCGGCGCACGAGUGAGUGACACGUGGAUGAGCUCCCUAUCUGACUGCGGUAACUUCUACACAGCAGGCCUAGUAGCAGAUGAUAUAAUCAACCCCAGGAGGGGCUUGUGUAUGACUGGUUUGCUGGUGCGUCUAUAGCUUUCCGGGCCGCAUUAGAGAGUUGGUAAGGUAACGGUUUACCAAGGCACCGAGACGUAGCCGACCUGCGAGGGUGAUAGGCCAACGUGGAACUGAGACACGGUCCAGACUCCUACGGGAGGCAGCAGUAGGGAAUCUUCCGCAAUGGGCGAAAGCCUGACGGAGCAACGCCGCGUGAGUGAUGAAGGUCUUCGGAUCGUAAAACUCUGUUAUUAGGGAAGAACAAAUGUGUAAGUAACUAUGCACGUCUUGACGGUACCUAAUCAGAAAGCAACGGCUAACUACGUG